AGCAAGCUCAAUUAAAUUCUAUUGAAGUUAUAAAAGAAAAAUAAGAAAAUCAUAAAGAAAUAUAAAAGAAUAUUAAAGAAAAUUUAGUCAAAUCCUAACAAAAAUCUAAUAGAACCUUAAAUUCUAACCAAACUCCAAUCCUAAUCCAAACUUAAUUAAAUCCUAGACAAAUCCUAAAUCCUAAAACAAAUCCUAAUCAAACCUUAAUCAAACCUUACUCAAAUCCUAAACCUUAAAUCAAUCCCUAACCAAAUCCUAAAUCAAACCCUAAACCCUAAUCCAAAUCCUAAUCCAAACCUUAAAUCCUAAGUCAAAUCCUAAAUCUUAAAUCCUAAACCAAAUCCUAAACCAUAUCCUAACCCUAACAAAUCCUAAAUCCUAAAUCAAAUCCUAACCAAACCAUAAUCCUAAACCCUAAUCAAACCUUAACCCAAACCAAAUCCUAAUCACAGAUUUGAAAA
Molecule: long non-coding RNA, 461 nt
Filed under: Physcomitrium patens
Lineage: Eukaryota; Viridiplantae; Streptophyta; Bryopsida; Funariales; Funariaceae
Description: long non-coding RNA (PPAT_LNC013086)
Source: RNAcentral